Molecule: long non-coding RNA, 2742 nt
Organism: Mesocricetus auratus (golden hamster)
Lineage: Eukaryota; Metazoa; Chordata; Mammalia; Rodentia; Cricetidae
Exons: 7
Source: RefSeq, a predicted model, not a curated record
GUAGUGAGGCCUGCACCGUGUGACCACGAACUCAUCAGCAACGCCCCUAACAGUCAGUCUCGUGAGAGCUGCUGCAACAGCUCUGCGCAUGUCCUGCAUCCCUUCACGCAGGCGGUGGCAGCAUCGGAAGGGUCAUUUUUGAUGUUAAUGUGUCCCUUCAACAUUGCCCGGAGUAUAUGAGCAUGGCCUGAGAACACAGGGUGCUGGUGGCUAUGAUUGUGGCAACGAUGGAGUGAUAAGAUCAAUGCAUCACUUCCCAUUGGUCCUUCAGUGGUUUUAUCUGUGAGUCCAUGGCAAUGCUGCUGAUAAGAUUCCAUGGAAAUAAAAUGUGUCUUGUACAAAUAAUAUACAUAAUGGCAGUAUGGCUUGGGAGAUUGAAGUAUAGAAGACACAGCAAUCUCACAAAGACAACAUGGACAAAUUAUUUGCUUGAUGCUAUGGAAAUACUGUUACAUGCUCUGAAAGCUAUGUAUCCUGAAAACACCAUAUAAGGUGGGAUUCUAUUGAAUCACAAAGCCUGGAAUUCAAUCUGUUUGAAGGGCAUGAGCUGGGAAUAAGAAAUGAAAUUGAUUUGGCCCAAUACUUGCUACAUUUCAAAUGCUGUCCAUCAAACUUUCCUGAGAAGUGCUAUAAGAAGAUGUUUGCUGUGGGACAAUAAAUGAGUUCCUGCUUGACUAGAUUCCCUGCUGCAUCUGAUUAUCUCCUGUAACCCUUUCCAGUAUCCCUGGAGACUGGGGAACAGGCAACCAGAGCAUUUACCCUUCAUUGAACCCUGCUCAGCCUUCCAUGGUUGGGCUAAGACCCAGAAUCUGUUACUCUCAACAUGGGACCUGAAAGGCCUACAUCUCAGCCAAGGCUAAGCAGUCUCUCAGGUUUCCCCCUCAACAUGCCCUCCUUGGUUCCAUCUGAGCCCAUCCCAGAAGCCAUUUGCAUCUUCACUGAUGGGGACCAAGCAGGCUCUGCCUACGUUGCCUUUGGAGGAUACGAAGAAACAUCUAGUCACCAAAGAUUUCAACCCUGCCACUGUUGUGCUCAAUAUAUGGAAAUGCUGGCAGUGAUGCUGGUAUUACAGGACAUCUUCAAGCCCUGCAAUCUUUCUUCAGACUGUCUUUAUGUGGUUAACUUACAUACCCAUUUCCCACAAUCAUACAUCUGGUUAGAUAAUAACCCCAUAUUCCCCCUCAUGGUGGCUCUUAAGGCUCUUUUAGAGUGAAAAUAGGCACCAAUUUACCUUCAACCCCUUUGAGGACUCUCCAGUCUCCCAGGGUUCCUGAUGAAGAUCACUUCAUGGGCAGAUAGACUGGUGACAGCCCAAGAGGCACUAACCCAACAGGAAGCCACCCAAUUGCAUGAUAUGACCCAUGCCAAUUGCAGGGAACUACAUAAUAGAUUCUCAAAGUUUCCUAUAAAAGAACUAAAACAGAUAGUUCACACAGGAAAAUCAUGUCAACCAUAUCUAAGAGUUUUCCUUCUACAGAUGCCAGGAGUUAACCCUAGAGGCCUACCACCCAAUAUCCUCUGGCAAACCAAUGUUAUUCAUUUUCCAUCUUUUGGCAAACAGAAGUAUGUUUUUGUCUCCAUAGACAUUUAUUCAGGGGCCUGUUUGGCCACUGAAUAUAUGGGGAAAAGUCCACUUCCUCUAGUGUUUCACAACCCUAGGAUCACGCACACAGGUUAAGACUGAUAAUGGCCGUUGCAUUGCCAAUAAUUCCAUUGCAGAAUGUUUCAAUACAUGGCACAUCAAACAUACUACAGGGAGCCCUUACAACCCUCAGGGACAAGCAAUUGUAGAAAGAAACCACUAAUGUCUUGAAGAACAACUUUUUUUUUACAUUCUGUGGUAGAUCUAUUUAAAGUUCUAUAAACAUGCAAAUCUAUUUCUUAGUUUCAGUGGGACUUAUCAUUUGCCAUAAAUCUGGAGGACUCUUCCACAUCUGGGAUUAAAAAAUGAACAGAAAGAAAGAGAUCUGGAUCAUACUUAAAUUAAUCAGUAUUAAUAGUUCAUCCAGAUUCAUUUAAGCUUGUCUGAGAGUUCAGUAUAGUUGGCUAUUAUUAUUAAAAAACUUGGAAGGUACAUCUAUUGAACUUACCAUAUGUUUCUUUAUUACUUUCCCCUACUUACAAUUCAUUCAGUAAAGCAACCAGUACUAUAAAGUGAGGUCUUGUUACUGUGAUCUCAUGAGCAGUCUUAGUAGUAUCAAUGACAAUUUACAAAUAAGAACAUCCUUUUUAUAACCUUAUUCAAAAAUGAAUUUCUUCAUUCUUUGACAGCGUAAAUAUUGGAAAAUAUUGUUAAGUUUUUCAUUGUUAAUAACCAAUUCUAUCAAAUUCCAAACCUGAAGCAACAGAAGAGCUUUGAAUUAUCUGCUGAAUCCUCUUGCUUUUCUCUGUCCUCAAUCACAAUCCCAGUACAACAUAGGGUCCUUCAAAAUAAAGAUAGCAUAUUAUUUUCUUCUCUUGUUACCAAUAAAAUACUCAGAUCAAAGCAAAGUUAAUAAAUGAAGCGUUUAUUUCAGCUUACACUAUGUUGAUGAUUAACCCGCUCUAAUAUAUUCUAUCAUCCUACCUAGUAUAUGUUCCUGAUCAUAGUAUUGUGGUUGUCUCCAAGAAAAUACCCCUCAACAUACCCAAAUGCCUGACUCCAAGGUGAAUUUAUCUUCUGUCAAGUUGACAAUAAAUAAUGAUGAUUACAGACAGAUAAAUUUUUUUUUUGGUUUUUGCUGGUAGCCCAUUCAUUUUAAA